RNAcentral lists this small nuclear RNA (26 nucleotides) under Arabidopsis thaliana (thale cress). RNAcentral describes it as "snRNA_02027". Lineage: Eukaryota; Viridiplantae; Streptophyta; Magnoliopsida; Brassicales; Brassicaceae. The record is from RNAcentral.
UCCUCUACGCCUAGGACACCAGAAUA